UUACUACUUGGAUAACCGUAGUAAUUCUAGAGCUAAUACAUGCAGGAGGUCCCGACUUCGGAAGGGAUGUAUUUAUUAGAUAAGAAACCAAUCCGGCUUGCCGGUUGCGUGCUGAGUCACAAUAACUGCUCGAAUCGAAUGGCCUUGCGCCGUCGAUGGUUCAUUCAAAUUUCUGCCCUAUCAGCUUUCGAUGGUAGGAUCGAGGCCUACCAUGGCGUUUACGGGUAACGGAGAAUUAGGGUUCGAUUCCGGAGAGGGAGCCUGAGAAAUGGCUACCACAUCCAAGGAAGGCAGCAGGCGCGUAAAUUGCCCGAAUCCUGACACAGGGAGGUAGUGACAAGAAAUAACAAUACAGGGCUACUUUAGUCUUGUAAUUGGAAUGAGUACAAUUUACAUCUCUUCACGAGGAUCAAUUGGAGGGCAAGUCUGGUGCCAGCAGCCGCGGUAAUUCCAGCUCCAAUAGCGUAUAUUAAAGUUGUUGCAGUUAAAACGCUCGUAGUCGGAUUUCGGGGCCUGCCUGCCGGUCUGCCGAUGGGUAUGCACUGGCAGGCGCGUCCUUCCUUCCGGAGACUGUCCCUACUCUUAACUGAGCGGGGUCGGGAGACGGAUCGUUUACUUUGAAAAAAUCAGAGUGUUUCAAGCAGGCAGCUCGCUCUUGCAUGGAUUAGCAUGGGAUAAUGAAAUAGGACUUUGGUGCUAUUUUGUUGGUUUCGAACACCGAAGUAAUGAUUAACAGGGACAGUCAGGGGCACUCGUAUUCCGCCGAGAGAGGUGAAAUUCUCAGACCAGCGGAAGACGAACCACUGCGAAAGCAUUUGCCAGGGAUGUUUUCACUGAUCAAGAACGAAAGUUAGGGGAUCGAAGACGAUCAGAUACCGUCGUAGUCUUAACCAUAAACCAUGCCGACUAGGGAUUGGAGGAUGUCCAUUUUUGACUCCUUCAGCACCUUACGGGAAACUAAAGUCUUUGGGUUCCGGGGGGAGUAUGGUCGCAAGGCUGAAACUUAAAGGAAUUGACGGAAGGGCACCACCAGGAGUGGAGCCUGCGGCUUAAUUUGACUCAACACGGGGAAACUUACCAGGUCCAGACAUUGUGAGGAUUGACAGAUUGAGAGCUCUUUCUUGAUUCGAUGGGUGGUGGUGCAUGGCCGUUCUUAGUUGGUGGAGUGAUUUGUCUGGUUAAUUCCGUUAACGAACGAGACCUUAGCCUAUUAAAUAGUGGC
The sequence is a ribosomal RNA, 1222 nucleotides long. It matches the Rfam family "Eukaryotic small subunit ribosomal RNA", at positions 132 to 1362 of the family's 1831-position model.